GGACAUGUCUAGGGCCCUGGCAACUGACUAAUGUUCUCUUUAUCAUUACAUUCCCCAUACUUGUUCAGUAGAAAUAGACCUGUCUUAGGUCUAUGGCAUACCAGUAGCUGUGCUCCUUUGCUAGAACCUCCAAACAAGCUCUCAAGAUCCAUUUCUAGGAAAACAUAGGGUAGUUAAGCUUCCAGUACUCCAAACACACCCACAUGAAGCACUGCACAUGACAGUCUGCCUUUCACC
Molecule: small nuclear RNA, 237 nt
Filed under: Erinaceus europaeus (western European hedgehog)
Lineage: Eukaryota; Metazoa; Chordata; Mammalia; Eulipotyphla; Erinaceidae
Description: 7SK RNA
Rfam family: 7SK RNA (bases 79-237)
About the family: 7SK was discovered as an abundant small nuclear RNA in the mid-70s but a possible function has only recently been suggested. Two independent studies have found that 7SK RNA binds the CDK9/cyclin T complex (known as elongation factor P-TEFb).
Source: Rfam by way of RNAcentral